UGGACAGUGGAAGGUUGACUAAAGGGAUUCCAGCAGGUUGUUGUUGUGAGAUGCGUAAGGGAGCUGCAACAGGGAUAGUUGUUUGUAUUGAGUACAGUAGGCGGCAUGAAGAUUCCACUGGAUGCCGAGGGCUUGGGAGACUGCUUGAGUGACCUGACUAAUGAAGGCUGGUCCGUUUCAGAGUGUAUAGAGGUGGGAAGGCCAAACCAAGGAAUUAUGUCUGACAGAAGGGAAGAAAUGACCGUGGUGGCCUUCUCAGACCCUGUGGGAAAGGCCUCUACCCAUCCAGUGAAUGUAUCUACCCAGACGAAAAGGUUCUCGCUCUGUCGCCCAGGCUGGAGUGCAGUGGCACAAUAAUGGCCCACUGCAGCCUCGACCUCCUGGACUCAAGUGACCUUCCUGCCUCUGCGAUAGUUUUUCAUGGAUGCUUCUAGUAGUUUUUUGGAGGGACGGUGUGUUAGGAACAAACUGCCCAAAAAGCUUCUUGGUACUGCCGACACUUCCCCCCCAAACCCUUCCGUGCUGUCCACCCCUUCCCCUAAUGCUCUACAAUUCUUCUCCUCCCCCAAGCCUCUUUACACUUCUAAGCCCUUACGAAGCCAGCAGACUUCACUUAUCAGACCUUGCUGCAAUAAACCCCAAUUACAAACCAUUCGCACCGCACAGGGGGAGGUGGUGGGAAGCAUAAACAAAUUUUACCUACACCCUCCUGUAAAAAACGUCACAAGGUAAUAUGUGGCAAAAUUAACCAGCAAACAACCCCAGGGUCUCUUUCCCCCAUACAAACCCCUCAUUUUGUAAGCUCAGGGGUGCCUCCUCUGUCUCUGGUGUAGCAGCCGGCAGGUUAAUAAACUUCCUCGCCUGACC
This is a long non-coding RNA of Piliocolobus tephrosceles (Ugandan red Colobus), 867 nucleotides long. RefSeq lists it as uncharacterized. Lineage: Eukaryota; Metazoa; Chordata; Mammalia; Primates; Cercopithecidae. The record is from RefSeq and is a predicted model, not a curated record. The transcript has 3 exons.